UGCAGCCGUGUCACAUUCGGUGCCCACCAGGCCAUGGCAGGCGCCGGCCCAAAAGGCUGCCACAGAAAUGCUGUGGCUCAUGGGCCCUGAUCCUCUGUGCUGGGCCUCAGGGAUAAAUUUGGUCACGGACACCA
This 134-nucleotide small nucleolar RNA is filed under the name Suricata suricatta (meerkat). Its description in RNAcentral is "Small nucleolar RNA SNORA5 (ENSSSUG00005008331.1)". It matches the Rfam family "Small nucleolar RNA SNORA5". Rfam says of the family: ACA5 is a member of the H/ACA class of snoRNA that guide the sites of modification of uridines to pseudouridines. The record is from Rfam by way of RNAcentral. Lineage: Eukaryota; Metazoa; Chordata; Mammalia; Carnivora; Herpestidae.